GACAGAGGGUGCAAACGUUGUUCGGAAUUACUGGGCGUAAAGCGCGUGUAGGCGGCCCUGCAAGUCGGGUGUGAAAUCCCACGGCUCAACCGUGGAAGUGCACUCGAAACUGCAGGGCUAGAGUCCUGGAGAGGAAGGUGGAAUGCUUGGUGUAGAGGUGAAAUUCGUAGAUAUCAAGAGGAACACCGGUGGCGAAGGCGGCCUUCUGGACAGUGACUGACGCUGAGACGCGAAAGCGUGGGGAGCAAACAGG
Molecule: ribosomal RNA, 253 nt
Filed under: uncultured bacterium
Lineage: Bacteria
Description: partial 16S ribosomal RNA
Rfam family: Bacterial small subunit ribosomal RNA
Source: RNAcentral